UGGUUCAAUUUGAGAUUGGAGAAGAUCUGGAUCUUAUACAAAAGUGGAUGAUUAAGGUUUUUUUUGAUUCUUACCUCUUAAACCAUCUGCUUUCUGAUGGUGGGCGGUAAGGAUUGGUGCAUGGGCUCCUUAGUGCUGUAUCCAAUGAUCAUUAAUGGAGCCGUUUCUAAAACCCAAUGAAAAUAAAACGGUGAACAAACUAGAAUGCUCCAUCCUUUCGUCCUCAAAAUUGUUCAAACUCUCUUGAGCACUCUCAAGGAACUGGUCGAACAUUCCAUUCAAAUAUUCAGGUUUUUUUUUGGCUGGG
RNAcentral lists this long non-coding RNA (307 nucleotides) under Elaeis guineensis (African oil palm). RNAcentral describes it as "long non-coding RNA (EGUI_LNC025056)". Lineage: Eukaryota; Viridiplantae; Streptophyta; Magnoliopsida; Arecales; Arecaceae. The record is from RNAcentral.